UGGUUGAUCCCUGCCAGUAGUCAUAUGCUUGUCUCAAAGAUUAAGCCAUGCAUGUCUAAGUAUAAGCGUUCUUAUACUGUGAAACUGCGAAUGGCUCAUUAAAUCAGUUAUAGUUUAUUUGAUGGUGGAUUACUACUUGGAUAACCGUGGUAAUUCUAGAGCUAAUACAUGCGUCAAGUCCCGACUUCUGGAAGGGAUGUAUUUAUUAGAUACAAAACCAAUGCACCUUCGGGUGGUUCUUGGUGAUUCAUGGUAACUGUUCGGAUCGCAUGGCCUUGCGCCGGCGAUGAAUCAUUCAAAUUUCUGCCCUAUCAACUGUCGAUGGUAAGGUAGUGGCUUACCAUGGUUGCAACGGGUAACGGAGAAUUAGGGUUCGAUUCCGGAGAGGGAGCCUGAGAAACGGCUACCACAUCCAAGGAAGGCAGCAGGCGCGCAAAUUACCCAAUCCCGACACGGGGAGGUAGUGACGAUAAAUAACAAUGCAGGACUUUUAUAAGUCUUGCAAUUGGAAUGAGCACAAUUUAAACCCCUUAACGAGGAACAAUUGGAGGGCAAGUCUGGUGCCAGCAGCCGCGGUAAUUCCAGCUCCAAUAGCGUAUAUUAAAGUUGUUGCAGUUAAAAAGCUCGUAGUUGGAUUUCGGAGCUGAGCGUGUGGUCCGCCUUCCGGCGUGCACUGUUCGUUCGGUUCUUCUUCUCGUGGAACGCGUGUGCUCUUCACUGAGUGUGCGUGGGACUCGGGACUUUUACUUUGAAAAAAUUAGAGUGUUCAAAGCAGGCCUUUGCUUGAAUACAUUAGCAUGGAAUAAUGAAAUAGGACCAUGGUUCUAUUUUGUUGGUUUUCGGGACCGAGGUAAUGAUUAAUAGGGACAGUUGGGGGCAUUCGUAUUCAAUUGUCAGAGGUGAAAUUCUUGGAUUUAUGGAAGACGAACAACUGCGAAAGCAUUUGCCAAGGAUGUUUUCAUUAAUCAAGAACGAAAGUUGGAGGUUCGAAGACGAUCAGAUACCGUCGUAGUUCCAACCAUAAACGAUGCCGACUAGGGAUUGGCGGAUGUUAUUUGAAUGACACCGUCAGCACCUUAUGAGAAAUCAAAGUUUCUGGGUUCCGGGGGGAGUAUAAUCGCAAGAUCGGAACUUAAAGGAAUUGACGGAAGGGCACCACCAGGAGUGGAGCCUGCGGCUUAAUUUGACUCAACACGGGGAAACUCACCAGGUCCAGACAUAGUAAGGAUUGACAGAUUGAGAGCUCUUUCUUGAUUCUAUGG
RNAcentral lists this ribosomal RNA (1262 nucleotides) under Clathrina sp. OV-2012. RNAcentral's name for it is "SSU rRNA". It matches the Rfam family "Eukaryotic small subunit ribosomal RNA", at positions 5 to 1273 of the family's 1831-position model. Lineage: Eukaryota; Metazoa; Porifera; Calcarea; Clathrinida; Clathrinidae. The record is from RNAcentral.